AAUGAACGCUGGCGGCGUGCUUAACACAUGCAAGUCGGACGAGAAAGGCUAAUUCGGUUGGCCGAGUAAAGUGGCGCACGGGUGAGUAACGCGUAGGCAACCUACCCUUGUAUUGGGGAUAACCCUGCGAAAGUGGGGCUAAUACCGGAUGAGACCCUAUUCUGGAGGGGAUAGGGUGAAAGUCGGCCGCUCGGAGAAGCUGACGUACGAGGAUGGGCCUGCGUCCUAUCAGCUGGUUGGUGGGGUAGCGGCCUACCAAGGCGACGACGGGUAGCUGGUCUGAGAGGAUGAUCAGCCACACUGGCACUGGAACACGGGCCAGACUCCUACGGGAGGCAGCAGUGAGGAAUUUUGCGCAAUGGCCGCAAGGCUGACGCAGCAACGCCGCGUGGGUGAUGAAGGCCUUCGGGUCGUAAAGCCCUGUCAGGUGGGAAGAAAGGCCUUAAGGAGAAACGCUUGAGGUUUGACGGUACCACCAGAGGAAGCACCGGCUAACUCCGUG
This 502-nucleotide ribosomal RNA is filed under the name uncultured bacterium. RNAcentral's name for it is "bacterial SSU rRNA". It matches the Rfam family "Bacterial small subunit ribosomal RNA", at positions 29 to 507 of the family's 1533-position model. The record is from RNAcentral.